GUGUAGCUGACGAAUCCCAAAUAGGACGAAACACGUAUCCUAAAU
Molecule: non-coding RNA, 45 nt
Filed under: Schistosoma mattheei
Lineage: Eukaryota; Metazoa; Platyhelminthes; Trematoda; Strigeidida; Schistosomatidae
Source: RNAcentral